GCGAAAGAUGUGCUUGAAACUCCUUUCUUCUGUUGAUAAGCUUUAAGCUUGAAAUCCCGAAAGUCGAAAACAACAAAUUUGUAUCUCUACCUAAAUGGUUUUAGUAUUUGUGCGUGAUAUUUAAACUGUGCGUUAAAUUGUUCCGUGAGUGUUAAACAGUUUGUUAAGUUGUUCUGUGAGUGUUAAACAGUGUGCAGGCUUAGCUGGUUCAAUUGCUGUUUGAAAGGGGGUUCAAGUCAACUCUCUCUGCUGAUAAUAAGGU
Molecule: long non-coding RNA, 262 nt
Organism: Cimex lectularius (bed bug)
Lineage: Eukaryota; Metazoa; Arthropoda; Insecta; Hemiptera; Cimicidae
Exons: 3
Source: RefSeq, a predicted model, not a curated record